Molecule: ribosomal RNA, 611 nt
Filed under: uncultured Antarctic soil bacterium
Lineage: Bacteria
Description: bacterial SSU rRNA
Rfam family: Bacterial small subunit ribosomal RNA
Source: RNAcentral
UUUUGGCUGACCACCUCCUUCUAGACUGCAGAAAAUCGAAUUCCCGCGGACGUCUGAUUGCAGGAAGCAGGCGCCGUCGGGCGCACGGCUCACUAUAGGGUGUCGUAUUACGAUUCACUGGCCGACCUUUUACAAAGGUGAGCUAAUACCGGAUGAUGCAGCGGGGUCGCAUGACCCUGUUGUUAAAGGUUUCGGCCACUCCCAGAGGAGCCUGCGUGCCAUUAGCUAGUUGGUGCGGUAACGGCGCACCAAGGCGAUGAUGGCUAGGGGGUCUGAGAGGAUGAUCCCCCACACUGGGACUGAGACACGGCCCAGACUCCUACGGGAGGCAGCAGUGAGGAAUCUUGCGCAAUGGGGGCAACCCUGACGCAGCCACGCCGCGUGCCGGAAGACGGCCCUAUGGGUUGUAAACGGCUUUUAGGUGGGAAGAAUCUCCCGAAUUCGUUCGGGACUGACGGUACCGCCAGAAUAAGCACCGGCUAACUCCGUGCCAGCAGCCGCGGUAAUACGGAGGGUGCAAGCGUUGUCCGGAAUUAUUGGGUGUAAAGGGUGCGCAGGCGGAAGCCUACGUCGAGGGUGAAAGACGGCCGCUUAACGGUCGCAGUGCCUUC